GUUCCUUGAGGAGUGGCUUCCGGAGCUAACGCGUUAAGUCGACCGCCUGGGGAGUACGGCCGCAAGGUUAAAACUCAAAUGAAUUGACGGGGGCCCGCACAAGCGGUGGAGCAUGUGGUUUAAUUCGAUGCAACGCGAAGAACCUUACCUACUCUUGACAUCCAGAGAACUUAGCAGAGAUGCUUUGGUGCCUUCGGGAACUCUGAGACAGGUGCUGCAUGGCUGUCGUCAGCUCGUGUUGUGAAAUGUUGGGUUAAGUCCCGCAACGAGCGCAACCCUUAUCCUUUGUUGCCAGCGGUUCGGCCGGGAACUCAAAGGAGACUGCCAGUGAUAAACUGGAGGAAGGUGGGGAUGACGUCAAGUCAUCAUGGCCCUUACGAGUAGGGCUACACACGUGCUACAAUGGCGCAUACAAAGAGAAGCGACCUCGCGAGAGCAAGCGGACCUCAUAAAGUGCGUCGUAGUCCGGAUCGGAGUCUGCAACUCGACUCCGUGAAGUCGGAAUCGCUAGUAAUCGUAGAUCAGAAUGCUACGGUGAAUACGUUCCCGGGCCUUG
Molecule: ribosomal RNA, 556 nt
Filed under: Enterobacterales bacterium
Lineage: Bacteria; Pseudomonadati; Pseudomonadota; Gammaproteobacteria; Enterobacterales
Description: bacterial SSU rRNA
Rfam family: Bacterial small subunit ribosomal RNA
Source: RNAcentral